This 509-nucleotide ribosomal RNA is filed under the name uncultured bacterium. Its description in RNAcentral is "bacterial SSU rRNA". It matches the Rfam family "Bacterial small subunit ribosomal RNA", at positions 270 to 769 of the family's 1533-position model. The record is from RNAcentral.
AAGGCGACGAUGCGUAGCCGGUCUGAGAGGAUGAUCGGCCACACUGGAACUGAGACACGGUCCAGACUCCUACGGGAGGCAGCAGUAGGGAAUCUUGCGCAAUGGAGGAAACUCUGACGCAGCGAUACCGCGUGAGUGAGGAAGGUCUUCGGAUUGUAAAGCUCUGUCGUGAGGGAAAAAUGGUUACACAGGUAAUAUUUGUGUAAAUUGAUGGUACCUCAGAAGGAAGACACCGGCUAACUUCGUGCCAGCAGCCGCGGUAAUACGAAGGGUGCAAGCGUUGUUCGGAUUUAUUGGGCGUAAAGCGCGCGCAGGCGGGUUUUUAAGUCAGAUGUGAAAUCUCGGAGCUCAACUCCGAACGUGCGUCUGAAACUGAAAAUCUAGAAUACUGGAGGGGACAGAGGAAUUUCACAUGUAGGGGUAAAAUCCGUAGAGAUGUGAAGGAACACCAGAGGCGAAGGCGUCUGUCUGGCCAGCCAUUGACGCUGAGGCGCGAAAGCGUGGGGAGC